AUUGAACGCUGGCGGCAUGCCUUACACAUGCAAGUCGAACGGUAACAGGUCUUUCGGGAUGCUGACGAGUGGCGAACGGGUGAGUAACACAUCGGAACGUGCCUAGUAGUGGGGGAUAACUACUCGAAAGAGUGGCUAAUACCGCAUGACAUCUAUGGAUAAAAGCAGGGGACCUUAGGGCCUUGUGCUACUAGAGCGGCCGAUGGCAGAUUAGGUAGUUGGUGGGAUAAAAGCUUACCAAGCCAACGAUCUGUAGCUGGUCUGAGAGGACGAUCAGCCACACUGGGACUGAGACACGGCCCAGACUCCUACGGGAGGCAGCAGUGGGGAAUUUUGGACAAUGGGGGAAACCCUGAUCCAGCAAUGCCGCGUGCAGGAUGAAGGCCUUCGGGUUGUAAACUGCUUUUGUACGGAACGAAAAGCUCUGGGUUAAUACCCUGGAGUCAUGACGGUACCGUAAGAAUAAGCACCGGCUAACUACGUG
RNAcentral lists this ribosomal RNA (484 nucleotides) under uncultured bacterium. RNAcentral describes it as "bacterial SSU rRNA". It matches the Rfam family "Bacterial small subunit ribosomal RNA", at positions 30 to 507 of the family's 1533-position model. The record is from RNAcentral.